This 255-nucleotide ribosomal RNA is filed under the name uncultured bacterium. RNAcentral describes it as "partial 16S ribosomal RNA". It matches the Rfam family "Bacterial small subunit ribosomal RNA", at positions 78 to 334 of the family's 1533-position model. The record is from RNAcentral.
UCUUUCUUUGCUGGCGACCGGCGCACGGGUGAGUAACACGUAUCCAACCUGCCCUUUACUCGGGGAUAGCCUUUCGAAAGAAAGAUUAAUACCCGAUAGCAUAAUGAUUCCGCAUGGUUUCAUUAUUAAAGGAUUCCGGUAAAGGAUGGGGAUGCGUUCCAUUAGGUUGUUGGUGAGGUAACGGCCCACCAAGCCUUCGAUGGAUCGGGGUUCUGAGAGGAAGGUCCCCCACAUUGGAACUGAGACACGGUCCAA